Non-coding RNA from Pelobates cultripes (western spadefoot toad), 203 nucleotides. The record is from the annotation of a GenBank genome assembly. NCBI's taxonomy places the organism in Eukaryota, Metazoa, Chordata, Amphibia, Anura, Pelobatidae.
AUGGCUUUUGCCCCAAUGCUUCAUAACACCAAGACACUACAAUUAAAUAGAAAUAAAGGGAGGGGUCCGGGGUCCGUCCGCACCGUUCCUGCUUCAGUCCACUUUGGCAGGAUUAAACUUGUGCUGCUUCUUUUUAUACUGUUCCAGUUUCCCACUCCUUAUCUGCUUGCAACUUUCAACCAAUCCCAUGCCAGCUCCAUCCC